UAGGGAAUCUUCCACAAUGGGCGAAAGCCUGAUGGAGCAACGCCGCGUGUGUGAUGAAGGCUUUAGGGUCGUAAAGCACUGUUGUAUGGGAAGAAAUGCUAGAAUAGGGAAUGAUUCUAGUUCGACGGUACCAUACCAGAAAGGGACGGCUAAAUACGUGCCAGCAGCCGCGGUAAUACGUAUGUCCCGAGCGUUAUCCGGAUUUAUUGGGCGUAAAGCGAGCGCAGACGGUUGAUUAAGUCUGAUGUGAAAGUCCGGAGCUCAACUCCGGAAUGGCAUUGGAAACUGGUUAACUUGAGUGUUGUAGAGGUAAGUGGAACUCCAUGUGUAGCGGUGGAAUGCGUAGAUAUAUGGAAGAACACCAGUGGCGAAGGCGGCUUACUGGACAACAACUGACGUUGAGGCUCGAAAGUGUGGGUAGCAAACAGGAUUAGAUACCCUGGUAGUCCACACCGUAAACGAUGAAUACUAGGUGUUAGGAGGUUUCCGCCUCUUAGUGCCGAAGCUAACGCAUUAAGUAUUCCGCCUGGGGAGUACGACCGCAAGGUUG
This 550-nucleotide ribosomal RNA is filed under the name uncultured bacterium. Its description in RNAcentral is "bacterial SSU rRNA". It matches the Rfam family "Bacterial small subunit ribosomal RNA", at positions 355 to 896 of the family's 1533-position model. The record is from RNAcentral.